GGCGCCGUUUGAUCCUUACUAUUAAAACUAAAAUUUUCCUUCAAAUCACUUUACUUCACUUUAAAAAAAAACAAAACAAAACAGAGGGAGAGGGGUUUUCUCUGCUAGGGUUUUCCCCUAACCCAAGCACCCUCAUGCCGCCGCCGUCGUGUCCGCCGUGGUGCCUCCGCGAACGGCUCUCGGAUCCAGGUAAGUUAGCUCCUUUCUUUUCUUAUUUCUUUAAAGAAAAUGAAACGAACAUGUAAACAAUCAGAAAAAAAUGAAGAUAGAGAAAAAAACAAAUAACCUUUCAAAAUCUAUUUGAUUCUCUGCUUUUGUAUUUUCAAUUGUCUUUUUUUGAUACAAUUUUUGUAACCCCUUUUACCAUCCCCCCCCCCCAUUUAAAAUCCCUUUACAAUCAGUUUAUAUAACCGAAAUAAAGAAAAAUAAAAUACAAAGGAAAAUCAUUAUUUCUGUUAUUGUUGCCUCUACUCUGGUGUUGGUUCCGUUUUUCUCGCAGGUACGGGAGUCGUGGAAGAGGCGCACGUGCUCGGAGGGUCGUGCUGUGACAUUCGCGGCGGCGUGUAAGGGUGAAAUUGCUGCGGCGGCUACUAGGGUUUUUGAUUUUUGAUUUGGCUGAAAAUUUGUUAAGCUUUGGGCUUGCUGGGCUGUUGGUAUUUUGGGCUUGUGUUUUUUUGUUUGGGAAAUGUAUUUUGGGUCAAUUCAUUGGGCCUGCUGUUGUAAUAAUGGUUGGGCAUUUAUUUUUUAUUUGCAUUUGGAUUUAUUAUUGGUAGGGCCGGGCAAAAAUUGGGCCCUACAACCAAAAUAAGAAUAUGGGUGAUUAAAUAGGUAGACCAAGCAUGGGUGCAGAAUUGGCUAGGCUAGAUAUCUGCCACUGCUAUAAUCAACCCAACGAUGUUUACUGCCAUCACAUUGCUAAGGCCAGACACUAUGUGCCGCCCAAAUCUAAAUUUUUUAUAUGGAUUUGAAUUUAAUAAAUUCAAUUAUAUAAAGAAUUAAGAUUUAAAAUUUAUUUUCAAAAGACGAUUUUUUUUUAAGAAAGAUUGUGUAAAAUUAUGAUUUCACGUUAUUCUUGUCUCUUUUUAAUAGGAGAAUGACAAAUUUGUUAUAAAAUAACGAGAGAUUGAGAGAAUAAAGAAUAAAGAAAAUAUGAAAGCAAUAGAAAAUGUAUUUUUUUGAUAAAAAAAUGAUUACAAUGUUUCAUCGGAGUCUCUAUUUAUAGACAUAAGAAGUAUAAAAGAAUAGAGAUCUAAUUCUA
RNAcentral lists this long non-coding RNA (1258 nucleotides) under Gossypium barbadense (sea-island cotton). RNAcentral describes it as "long non-coding RNA (GBAR_LNC019962)". Lineage: Eukaryota; Viridiplantae; Streptophyta; Magnoliopsida; Malvales; Malvaceae. The record is from RNAcentral.